RNAcentral lists this long non-coding RNA (1462 nucleotides) under Bemisia tabaci. Its description in RNAcentral is "lncRNA ENSSSA3NGG004635". Lineage: Eukaryota; Metazoa; Arthropoda; Insecta; Hemiptera; Aleyrodidae. The record is from RNAcentral.
AUCGAAAUCAAGGCUCUCCAUUGACUUUCGUCUUUCACUCGCGGCGAUUAAUCGCCGUGUGUAUCUAGGCCUUUACGAACUUCUCAGAAUUGCCUACUAGGGAAUGGAUUUCAGACUUUAUUGACGUACCUGAUCUGAUUUUUGAGCGAUAUUUUAUUGGGGAGGAUUUAUUUGGCCGUAUCUCUUGCGUGAACAGACCCAUCGAACAGAGUACUUAUUUUUUACGCUGUGCGACUCUGUGUGAAAAAAAAAAAAAUCUCAAUUUUCAACCUAUUAGCCGUCUCCAAUCUUUCCAUCGCAGUCAUGAUGUUGCACUCACACUGAAAAAAAGUAUCACAAUAUCUAUACUUCCAGCUGAUUUUGGCGCCAGCCAUAGCAGUAGUGCACUAGCUAGAAGUUUAAAGGCACCAGCGAGCGGUAUAGUUAAACCAACCACACUUACGCUGACUGUGAGAGCACCAUAGCUAGAGGUAUGGUUGAUCCAACCUAACUUUCAGCUGAAUUAACCAUACCUCUAGCAUGUGCAACUACUCUAAUAUCCGGCGCCAAACUGGCUGAUGCGAGUUAUGAUUCUGAUACUUUUUUUACGUGCAGGAACCACUUUUUUAUGUUUUUUCUAUUCUAUUAAGUAUGGUCAGAUGACUUGUUUUGAGGGAAAGGGGUAAAUCAACCGAAAUGCAUCAUGCCAUUCGUUGAAUAAAAUUGAUGCGUGUUUGUCCCAUAGAAUGUUAGGGUAGAUUGAUGAAAUAAGGGGCGUGACUGUGAACGGGUAUGGGUCAAAUGUUCUGAACGAGAGUUGAUGAUAGGAAACGGAGAUAAAGAAGAAGAGAGACACGUUUCUAACAUAAGUAAUCGGUCUGAUUCAGUAGAUGAGAACAAUAAUGUGAAGAUAAGAGACAUCUCGUUUUUAAUCUCGUGCCCAUUUCAAGAAUGGAUCCCGUUUAAUCAAACGAAAGGCACCCACAUUAUUUUCAGGUGUUCAAUUUUAUCAGGAGAUGCGUGGAGCAUGAAGUUCAUUCUCGCAGGGAUCUUUGUCUUGAGAUGUAAUUUUUAUUCAGAUUUUGCACAAGGUGCCACUACAACUAGACAAACAACUUUCAAAGAUCACUCAGCGCACGUAAGCACAUCAACACAUUCGAUACACGCAUCAACUAGCACACCGGGGCCGAUUGCUUAUGAGCUUCACAGGGAUAAGAUAAUUCCAGAUCUAUCAACCUUAGACGAUAAAUGUCCGCAGCGUGUUUUGAAGGUGAUUUAUGAAGAAGAUGGUUAUGGUCCCGUUUGUUAUGGUAAUACAUUGAAAGCGGCUACAGCUCAUGCCGCUCCAGAGACAGUCGCGUGGAAAUGUGAGAAUCCAGAUGAGGCCACAUUCUACACGAUAAUUUUUGUCGGUACUCAUAGAUUUGUAUUCCAACUGUUUCUGCAAGAAAAAGGAAGAUCCACUUUGAAGAGACCUAUCUGA